Long non-coding RNA from Vitis riparia (riverbank grape), 949 nucleotides. RefSeq lists it as uncharacterized. Lineage: Eukaryota; Viridiplantae; Streptophyta; Magnoliopsida; Vitales; Vitaceae. The transcript has 2 exons. The record is from RefSeq and is a predicted model, not a curated record.
UAUAAAAAUGCUUUAAAAAACAAUACAUAUUUUUAGCCAUUUUAUUUUAGCAAAACAAUCUAUUGGGAGCUGUGAAAUCCAAUUUUCUCUUCAGACAAAGAUCCAAUUCUAAACCAUAUUUCACGUUUUCUUUUGUUCUUCUAUGGGAUUGAAAUUGAAACCAGGGGUCGAUUCCCUACUGGUGGACUCAGUGAGAAAAGAAGAGGAGGAGAGAGAGAAAAACUAAAAGGAAAGUCACAUGGAGCUUUCAAAAUUGAAAACAACUGGUGGCUUUGAAAGGUAGGCCGAAGAAAGGCAGCUGCCCCCUCCAGUCAUCCUUAUCCCAACCAACUGUUUCUCCACCUUUACUUACCGGUCAAAUACUGGCCUAGAAAGAUCAAGAUUCAAGAAUACUCCAUCGUUAAGUUUUCUUCUCUUUAGUCAUCGCUCCAAAAGUCUAUAUAUAUAUAUAUAGAAUACCUUUAGUGUUGUUCUACCACGCUAAGUUCAUCUCCCUGCGUUGCAUUUUCUCGAGAAAGUGAGAGAAAAAGAUGCCUCCUCCAGGUUGGGGACCCCCGGGACCAGGAGGGCCUGGAGGCCCUUGUGGCUGCUUUGCUUUUCUUUGCGGUGGUAUUUGCAGGGCCGUGUCUACAUGUUUCUAUUUUCUGUGCUGUUGCUGCAUCCUAGAGAGCUGCUGUGGGCCUAUCUUUGGUGGGCCUCCUGGUGGGCCACAUGGUGGGCCUCCUCCAUUUUAAUGAGCCCAUUUGGAAGGGGAUGUUUGUGUACAUGAUGCUUUGAAUGGAAUAAAUGAGAACAAUACACUUGGUUUGUGGUUGUCAUGUUGCAAGUUCAUUUCUUCUAUCUUUCUUGGUUGGUUUGUGUUGGUAAAGUGAAUGUAACUUUUGGCCUUUUGUCUAGUGUUUUCCCUUUUGGAGAAUGGAAUUGAAGGCUUUCUUGUUUUCCCCAUAAA